UAAAAAAGAAUAAAAUGGAAGAGGGUGCAGUUUGUAGAAAAUAGGGAUGCAUGAGAAAAAAAAAAGCAAAAGAGUGGGGCUAAAAGGCCCACCGAACAAAAAAGAGAAAAUAAAAAAAAAGUAAAAUAAAUAAUGGAAAUGGGGCGCAGAAAGCAAGCCCAAAAGGUGUUUCAAGGCCAGAGGAAAGUGGUUAAAUUCCUUUGG
RNAcentral lists this long non-coding RNA (204 nucleotides) under Lathyrus oleraceus (garden pea). Its description in RNAcentral is "Pisum sativum (pea) long non-coding RNA (PSAT_LNC010638)". The record is from RNAcentral. Lineage: Eukaryota; Viridiplantae; Streptophyta; Magnoliopsida; Fabales; Fabaceae.